This 1557-nucleotide ribosomal RNA is filed under the name Staphylococcus aureus. RNAcentral's name for it is "16S ribosomal RNA". It matches the Rfam family "Bacterial small subunit ribosomal RNA". Lineage: Bacteria; Bacillati; Bacillota; Bacilli; Caryophanales; Staphylococcaceae. The record is from RNAcentral.
UUUUAUGGAGAGUUUGAUCCUGGCUCAGGAUGAACGCUGGCGGCGUGCCUAAUACAUGCAAGUCGAGCGAACGGACGAGAAGCUUGCUUCUCUGAUGUUAGCGGCGGACGGGUGAGUAACACGUGGAUAACCUACCUAUAAGACUGGGAUAACUUCGGGAAACCGGAGCUAAUACCGGAUAAUAUUUUAAACCGCAUGGUUCAAAAGUGAAAGACGGUCUUGCUGUCACUUAUAGAUGGAUCCGCGCUGCAUUAGCUAGUUGGUAAGGUAACGGCUUACCAAGGCAACGAUGCAUAGCCGACCUGAGAGGGUGAUCGGCCACACUGGAACUGAGACACGGUCCAGACUCCUACGGGAGGCAGCAGUAGGGAAUCUUCCGCAAUGGGCGAAAGCCUGACGGAGCAACGCCGCGUGAGUGAUGAAGGUCUUCGGAUCGUAAAACUCUGUUAUUAGGGAAGAACAUAUGUGUAAGUAACUGUGCACAUCUUGACGGUACCUAAUCAGAAAGCCACGGCUAACUACGUGCCAGCAGCCGCGGUAAUACGUAGGUGGCAAGCGUUAUCCGGAAUUAUUGGGCGUAAAGCGCGCGUAGGCGGUUUUUUAAGUCUGAUGUGAAAGCCCACGGCUCAACCGUGGAGGGUCAUUGGAAACUGGAAAACUUGAGUGCAGAAGAGGAAAGUGGAAUUCCAUGUGUAGCGGUGAAAUGCGCAGAGAUAUGGAGGAACACCAGUGGCGAAGGCGACUUUCUGGUCUGUAACUGACGCUGAUGUGCGAAAGCGUGGGGAUCAAACAGGAUUAGAUACCCUGGUAGUCCACGCCGUAAACGAUGAGUGCUAAGUGUUAGGGGGUUUCCGCCCCUUAGUGCUGCAGCUAACGCAUUAAGCACUCCGCCUGGGGAGUACGACCGCAAGGUUGAAACUCAAAGGAAUUGACGGGGACCCGCACAAGCGGUGGAGCAUGUGGUUUAAUUCGAAGCAACGCGAAGAACCUUACCAAAUCUUGACAUCCUUUGACAACUCUAGAGAUAGAGCCUUCCCCUUCGGGGGACAAAGUGACAGGUGGUGCAUGGUUGUCGUCAGCUCGUGUCGUGAGAUGUUGGGUUAAGUCCCGCAACGAGCGCAACCCUUAAGCUUAGUUGCCAUCAUUAAGUUGGGCACUCUAAGUUGACUGCCGGUGACAAACCGGAGGAAGGUGGGGAUGACGUCAAAUCAUCAUGCCCCUUAUGAUUUGGGCUACACACGUGCUACAAUGGACAAUACAAAGGGCAGCGAAACCGCGAGGUCAAGCAAAUCCCAUAAAGUUGUUCUCAGUUCGGAUUGUAGUCUGCAACUCGACUACAUGAAGCUGGAAUCGCUAGUAAUCGUAGAUCAGCAUGCUACGGUGAAUACGUUCCCGGGUCUUGUACACACCGCCCGUCACACCACGAGAGUUUGUAACACCCGAAGCCGGUGGAGUAACCUUUUAGGAGCUAGCCGUCGAAGGUGGGACAAAUGAUUGGGGUGAAGUCGUAACAAGGUAGCCGUAUCGGAAGGUGCGGCUGGAUCACCUCCUUUCUAA